RNAcentral lists this ribosomal RNA (253 nucleotides) under uncultured bacterium. RNAcentral describes it as "partial 16S ribosomal RNA". It matches the Rfam family "Bacterial small subunit ribosomal RNA", at positions 524 to 776 of the family's 1533-position model. The record is from RNAcentral.
UACGUAGGGUGCAAGCGUUGUCCGGAAUUACUGGGCGUAAAGAGCUCGUAGGUGGUUUGUCGCGUUGUUCGUGAAAACUCACAGCUCAACUGUGGGCGUGCGGGCGAUACGGGCAGACUAGAGUACUGCAGGGGAGACUGGAAUUCCUGGUGUAGCGGUGGAAUGCGCAGAUAUCAGGAGGAACACCGGUGGCGAAGGCGGGUCUCUGGGCAGUAACUGACGCUGAGGAGCGAAAGCGUGGGGAGCGAACAGG